CCCUUAGAUGUUCUGGGCCGCACGCGCGCUACACUGAUUCAUGCAACAAGUUUUGUACUUGGCUGAUAGGCCUGGGUAAUCUUUGAACGUGAAUCGUGAUGGGGAUAGAUGAUUGCAAUUAUUCAUCUUCAACGAGGAAUUCCUAGUAAACGCAAGUCAUCAGCUUGCAUUGAUUACGUCCCUGCCCUUUGUACACACCGCCCGUCGCACCUACCGAUUGAAUGGUCCGGUGAAAUCUUCGGAUCUGAGAGAUGUCUGAUUAAUUUCGGACGCCUUUUGGAAAAGUUGCUUAAACCUUACCAUUUAGAGGAAGGUGAANUCGUAACA
RNAcentral lists this ribosomal RNA (327 nucleotides) under uncultured eukaryote. RNAcentral describes it as "partial 18S ribosomal RNA". It matches the Rfam family "Eukaryotic small subunit ribosomal RNA", at positions 1470 to 1796 of the family's 1831-position model. The record is from RNAcentral.